RNAcentral lists this long non-coding RNA (1031 nucleotides) under Helianthus annuus (common sunflower). RNAcentral describes it as "hypothetical non coding rna". The record is from RNAcentral. Lineage: Eukaryota; Viridiplantae; Streptophyta; Magnoliopsida; Asterales; Asteraceae.
GAUCUCUCUGAAGUUCCUUUUCCUGUGAGCCACCACCACCGUGUUGCCAUCUCCACCACCGCCUAAAACCACCGUCACCUGAACUACUCCAAUCAGUUCCUCAUAUUCAACAACAUCCAAGCUCCACUGAUAAUCACCAUCACUGAACGGUUCCUCAAAUCUAAUAAUCACCACAAAAAUCCCUUCAUUUGAAUCUGACUUGUAAAAUCGCUUGUGAAUUUUUUCAAAACCUGCUCAUAUCAGUACCCGCCACCACCCACCCACCAUAGCUUAUCUUUCAAUUUUUCAAAACCUACUCAUUAUCAAAGUAAAUAACUGCUUUUCAAAACCCACAUCCCAGCGAUCUCUCUCUCUCUCUCUCCCUCUUUCUGUCUCAAAUUCCUGAUGGGUUUUCAGUUGUUCACUCCACCCAAAAUUCCGACCACUACCACUACCACUGUGAUAGUGGUAGAUCUAGCCAUAUAGGGUUUCUAGGAGAGAGAUGGCGGUUAAUAGUUAAACCCCCGCCGCCCGAACUCGGAUUUGGAGGUAGAGGAGGGGAUCGAGAGUUUUGGGGAGAGCUAGAAUGGUUGACGGGUCGGCGAUCAGUGAUGGUGGAGGGUGGCCGGUGGUCAAUGAUGGUUGAGGGUGGCCGGCGACCGUGAUUUGAGGGUGGGCAGCCAUGAUUUGUUCUUGAUUGAGCAGAGAGAAGAGAUGGAACAAAGAUUAUGUGAGUUUUAUUUAUAUAUGUAAUGUAAUUUACCCCUUUUUUUAAUUUUUUAAAUAAAUAAGUAAAAUUACCGAUAUACCCUCAUGUGCAAGUCACAUGACCAAAUUAACUAAAAAAUUUAACUGGGUUAGUGGUAAAGGACGUAGAGUGUAAUGAGUUUUACAAAUAAAGGAUUGUGACUGUAAUUAUUGAAGUUAAAGGUCAUCCAUUGCAAUCUCAUACAAACAUAAAGGACGAAAAGUGUAAUUUAUCCUUUAUAUAGAUUAAAUAUAUAAUUGUUCAAAUAUUCAUUGUUAAAUUAAUAAAUCUAUAUCUAUACUAU